This 451-nucleotide ribosomal RNA is filed under the name uncultured bacterium. RNAcentral describes it as "partial 16S ribosomal RNA". It matches the Rfam family "Bacterial small subunit ribosomal RNA", at positions 354 to 796 of the family's 1533-position model. The record is from RNAcentral.
GUGGGGAAUAUUGGACAAUGGGGGGAACCCUGAUCCAGCCAUGCCGCGUGUGUGAAGAAGGCCUUUUGGUUGUAAAGCACUUUAAGCGAGGAGGAGGCUACCGAGAUUAAUACUCUUGGAUAGUGGACGUUACUCGCAGAAUAAGCACCGGCUAACUUCGUGCCAGCAGCCGCGGUAAUACGAAGGGUGCAAGCGUUAAUCGGAUUUACUGGGCGUAAAGCGCGCGUAGGUGGCCAAUUAAGUCAAAUGUGAAAUCCCCGAGCUUAACUUGGGAAUUGCAUUCGAUACUGGUUGACUAGAGUAUGGGAGAGGAUGGUAGAAUUCCAGGUGUAGCGGUGAAAUGCGUAGAGAUCUGGAGGAAUACCGAUGGCGAAGGCAGCCAUCUGGCCUAAUACUGACACUGAGGUGCGAAAGCAUGGGGAGCAAACAGGAUUAGAUACCCCAGUAGUCC